Molecule: long non-coding RNA, 280 nt
Organism: Mauremys mutica (yellowpond turtle)
Lineage: Eukaryota; Metazoa; Chordata; Testudines; Geoemydidae
Exons: 3
Source: RefSeq, a predicted model, not a curated record
AGCUGAUGGUUGCUGGUCGCUCGUGAAGGGAAGACUUGCAGGUGCCAUACUAAGCUGAGCCUGCUGCAUAAUCAUGGCUCUCUUUGUGAAUUCUGAAGCUGGAGUCCAGUGAACUUUACCCCAAAGAGACCUUGCUUUUUUACAGUGUGGAAAAAAAUUCAGCCAGCUCAGUCUAAAAGUGGAUGACCCCAGAUGAUACUAUACAUUACCGUAAGUAUGAGUAACUUAUUCCAUGAAUCAUUGAAAACAAACAUUAUAUCCGUGACAGAUUCUGCGACCC